Molecule: ribosomal RNA, 569 nt
Filed under: Sarocladium oryzae
Lineage: Eukaryota; Fungi; Ascomycota; Sordariomycetes; Hypocreales; Sarocladiaceae
Description: partial 28S ribosomal RNA
Rfam family: Eukaryotic large subunit ribosomal RNA
Source: RNAcentral
UUGCCUCAGUACGGCGAGUGAGCGGCAACAGCUCAAAUUUGAAAUCUGGCCGCAAGGUCCGAGUUGUAAUUUGCAGAGGAUGCUUUUGGCGAGGUGCCUUCCGAGUUCCCUGGAACGGGACGCCAUAGAGGGUGAGAGCCCCGUACGGUUGGACCACCGAGCCUCUGUAAAGCUCCUUCGACGAGUCGAGUAGUUUGGGAAUGCUGCUCUAAAUGGGAGGUGUACGUCUUCUAAAGCUAAAUACCGGCCAGAGACCGAUAGCGCACAAGUAGAGUGAUCGAAAGAUGAAAAGCACUUUGAAAAGAGGGUUAAAAAGUACGUGAAAUUGUUGAAAGGGAAGCGUUUAUGACCAGACUUGGGCUUGGUUGAACAUCCGGCGUUCUCGCCGGUGCACUCUGCCAGUCCAGGCCAGCAUCAGUUUGUCCCGGGGGAUAAAGGCGGUGGGAAUGUGGCUCCCCCGGGAGUGUUAUAGCCCGCCGUGCAAUGCCCUGGGACGGACUGAGGAACGCGCUUCGGCACGGAUGCUGGCGUAAUGGUCAUCAACGACCCGUCUUGAACCAACGGGACCA